Long non-coding RNA from Melospiza melodia melodia, 332 nucleotides. RefSeq lists it as uncharacterized. NCBI's taxonomy places the organism in Eukaryota, Metazoa, Chordata, Aves, Passeriformes, Passerellidae. The transcript has 3 exons. The record is from RefSeq and is a predicted model, not a curated record.
CAGGCCAGAGGUUUCUAGAUAAAUCAAGAAGUGCAGUUUGACUGGAGGAACUCGCUCUCUCUUGCCUUGGCCUCGGCAAAAUCUCAUGGGUGAAUUCCUUCAGUGGCACAUGGGAGGGCUCUGGCCAUAAACUGGGAAUGACAAUGGAAUGAUGGAAUCUUUCCUUUGCCAAUAGAAACUCCAUCAAAAGUCUCCUUGUGACAAUUCCUUGUGUUUGAUGCAUUUCACUGGCUGUUUGUGCUCCUGGUCAUCAGUCUGGAGCUGCUGCCUCUCCUGUGCUGUGGUGUUGUGAGGGUCUCCAGGAUGAGGUGAGAGGUGAGAAUCUGACUCCA